This 511-nucleotide ribosomal RNA is filed under the name Falsamblesthis ibiyara. Its description in RNAcentral is "partial large subunit ribosomal RNA". It matches the Rfam family "Bacterial large subunit ribosomal RNA", at positions 1825 to 2603 of the family's 2925-position model. Lineage: Eukaryota; Metazoa; Arthropoda; Insecta; Coleoptera; Cerambycidae. The record is from RNAcentral.
GUCUUUUUGAAAAUAAUUUAAGGUUUGAUUUGCCCACUGAGGACUUGAAGGGCCGCGGUAUUUUGACCGUGCUAAGGUAGCAUAAUCAUUAGUUUCUUAAUUAGAAGCUGGUAUGAAGGAUUGGAUGAGAAAAUGACUGUCUCUUUAUAAAUAAUUGUGAAUUUUAUUUUUAAGUUAAAAAGCUUAAAUGAUUUUAAAAGACGAGAAGACCCUUUAGAGUUUUAUAAAAUUUUUAGUAUAAAUUUUUAGGAUUUUAUUUUUAUAUUUAAAUUUUUAUUUGAUUGGGGUGAUUGAAAAAUUUAAAUAACUUUUUUUGUUUGAGUUCAUAAAUAAAUGAAUAAUUGAUCCAUAAAAAUGAUUAUAAGAUUAAAUUACCUAAGGGAUAACAGCGUUAUUUUUUUUGAGAGUUCAAAUCGAAAAAAAAGAUUGCGACCUCGAUGUUGGAUUAAAAUUUAUUUUAGGUGUAGGAGCUUAAAAAUUAGGUCUGUUCGACCUUUAAAAUUUUACAUGA